This 497-nucleotide ribosomal RNA is filed under the name uncultured bacterium. RNAcentral describes it as "partial 16S ribosomal RNA". It matches the Rfam family "Bacterial small subunit ribosomal RNA", at positions 28 to 507 of the family's 1533-position model. The record is from RNAcentral.
GAUGAACGCUGGCGGCGUGCCUAAUACAUGCAAGUCGAGCGAACAGACGAGGAGCUUGCUCCUCUGACGUUAGCGGCGGACGGGUGAGUAACACGUGGAUAACCUACCUAUAAGACUGGGAUAACUUCGGGAAACCGGAGCUAAUACCGGAUAAUAUAUUGAACCGCAUGGUUCAAUAGUGAAAGACGGUUUUGCUGUCACUUAUCGAUGGAUCUGCGCCGCAUUAGCUAGUUGGUAAGGUAACGGCUUACCAAGGCAACGAUGCGUAGCCGACCUGAGAGAGUGGUCGGCCGCACUGGAGGUGGAACAGGCACCAGACUCCUACGGGAGGCCGCAGUAGGGAACCUUCCGCAGUAGGCGAAAGCCUGGCGGAGCAGCGCCGCGUGAGUGAUGGAGGUCUUCGGAUCGUGAAACUCUGUUAUUAGGGAAGAACAAAUGUGUAAGUAACUAUGCACGUCUUGACGGUACCUAAUCAGAAAGCCACGGCUAACUACGUG